Molecule: ribosomal RNA, 446 nt
Filed under: uncultured bacterium
Lineage: Bacteria
Description: bacterial SSU rRNA
Rfam family: Bacterial small subunit ribosomal RNA
Source: RNAcentral
UCGAGAAUCUUCGGCAAUGGGCGCAAGCCUGACCGAGCGACGCCGCGUGUGGGAUGAAGGCCUUCGGGUUGUAAACCACUGUCAGAGUGGAGGAAAUGCAUUGGGGUUCUCUCCAGUGUUUGACCUAGACUCAGAGGAAGGACGGGCUAAGUUCGUGCCAGCAGCCGCGGUAAGACGAACCGUCCGAACGUUAUUCGGAAUUACUGGGCUUAAAGGGUGCGUAGGCGGCGCGGAAAGUUGGGUGUGAAAUCCCUCGGCUCAACCGAGGAACUGCGCCCAAAACUACCGUGCUUGAGGGAGAUAGAGGUGAGCGGAACUUAGGGUGGAGCGGUGAAAUGCGUUGAUAUCCUAAGGAACACCGGUGGCGAAAGCGGCUCACUGGAUCUCUUCUGACGCUGAGGCACGAAAGCUAGGGUAGCGAACGGGAUUAGAUACCCGGGUAGUCC